UAUGGACAAGGAAGGGCAGGCUUAGAUAUUUGCAUCACAAAGGGGUAGACUGUAGUAAAGACUACUGGUUUUCUUUUCAUAUCUAUCAUAUCCUUUUCCUAUAAUAAGAUAACCACAAUUUUAGGCAAAGAAUACUAGCGAAGAACAAAAUUUCUAACUUCCCGUGCAGCUAAGUGUGGCCAUUCUGAAGUAUAGAUUUGAUGCUUUGAACUGAAGUGGACACCUUGGACCAAAAAAUAACCCUGGGAAUGAAUGUUACAAACUGGAACAAAAAUCAUAGAAGGGGCUAUGUCCUUGAUACAGUGAUGCUAUUCCAAGUGCUGAACUGUCUAUUGCGGGCUUCCAUAUGAGAGAAAAAUAAAGUUGUUUAAGUCAUUGUUA
Long non-coding RNA from Pan troglodytes (chimpanzee), 381 nucleotides. RefSeq lists it as uncharacterized. The transcript has 2 exons. The record is from RefSeq and is a predicted model, not a curated record. Lineage: Eukaryota; Metazoa; Chordata; Mammalia; Primates; Hominidae.